GGGGGAUAUUGCACAAUGGGGGAAACCCUGAUGCAGCGACGCCGCGUGGAGGAAGAAGGUUUUCGGAUUGUAAACUCCUGUCGUUAGGGACGAUAAUGACGGUACCUAACAAGAAAGCACCGGCUAACUACGUGCCAGCAGCCGCGGUAAAACGUAGGGUGCAAGCGUUGUCCGGAAUUACUGGGUGUAAAGGGAGCGCAGGCGGGAAGACAAGUUGGAAGUGAAAACCAUGGGCUCAACCCAUGAAUUGCUUUCAAAACUGUUUUUCUUGAGUAGUGCAGAGGUAGAUGGAAUUCCCGGUGUAGCGGUGGAAUGCGUAGAUAUCGGGAGGAACACCAGUGGCGAAGGCGGUCUACUGGGCACCAACUGACGCUGAGGCUCGAAAGCAUGGGUAGCAAACAGGAUUAGAUACCCUGGUAGUCCAUGCCGUAAACGAUGAUUACUAGGUGUUGGGGGAUUGACCCCCUCAGUGCCGCAGUUAACACAAUAAGUAAUCCACCUGGGGAGUACGACCGCAAGGUUGAAACUCAAAGGAAUUGACGGGGGCCCGCACAAGCAGUGGAGUAUGUGGUUUAAUUCGAAGCAACGCGAAGAACCUUACCAGGUCUUGACAUCCGAUGCAUAGCACAGAGAUGUGUGAAAUCCUUCGGGACAUCGAGACAGGUGGUGCAUGGUUGUCGUCAGCUCGUGUCGUGAGAUGUUGGGUUAAGUCCCGCAACGAGCGCAACCCUUAUUGCCAGUUACUACUUAAGAGGACUCUGGCGAGACUGCCGUUGACAAAACGGAGGAAGGUGGGG
RNAcentral lists this ribosomal RNA (797 nucleotides) under uncultured bacterium. Its description in RNAcentral is "bacterial SSU rRNA". It matches the Rfam family "Bacterial small subunit ribosomal RNA", at positions 356 to 1178 of the family's 1533-position model. The record is from RNAcentral.